This 1612-nucleotide long non-coding RNA is filed under the name Malus domestica (apple). Its description in RNAcentral is "long non-coding RNA (MDOM_LNC009218)". Lineage: Eukaryota; Viridiplantae; Streptophyta; Magnoliopsida; Rosales; Rosaceae. The record is from RNAcentral.
UUGCUUAUGCAAAGAGGAAUCUACAAAGGUAAUAAUUUCAACUCACUUUGUUUUGAGUAGAUAAUUGGUUCAUCAAUCUACUAGGCUUUGAAUUUCAUGGUAAUGUUUUGUUUUUGAGUGCAUGCAAGCAUGAUUCCGCCUUUAAUUGUUAAUUGCAUGCUAUAUGAUGUUGCUCAAAUGAACAUGUUUUUCAAAAUAAAUCCUUCAGAAUGGAUAUCACAUGCAUGGAGCAAGGUGGAUAGACGAAAUUGAAGACUAAAGAGACUAGGAAUGUUUUAAAAAGAAAGAAGAAUUAAUUUAAAAAGGACAAAGAGCUCAGCAACCAAAGAAGAAACAUGAGUCAAGAUUACCUUAUUUUGAUUUAACCUUUCUUAAUCCUAAUCCAACUAAGUUCUAGCCACAAGGAGGGUUCCCCAAAGAUAUUAGGACACUAAAUAAAGGAUUCUAGAAGCCUUAAUCUUAGCCACAAAGGGGUGUCACUCCACCUUUCACCUUCCAUGCCGUGCACAUUCCUUGUCCCUUCCAUUGAUCCAGAUUUCAUGCACCAUUGCACUCACUUUCCCUUCCAUGCUAUGCCAUCAUCAUUGUCCCAUCCAUUGAUCCAUAUUUCAUGCACCAUUUCACCUCUCUUUCCUUUCCCAUGCCGUGCAUCAUCAUCCACGUUCCCUCUUCGCACUCAUUUGCUGCACCAUUCCAUUUCCUUUCCUUUGUUUACCAUGUGCACAAUAUUCUUGUCCACUCCUUGCACUCAUUGAUGCACCACUCCUUCACCUUUCCACCCAUGCCGUGCAUCAUCAUCAUUGUCCCAUUCAUGCACUCAUUUCAUGCACCAUUUCAUCGAAUCAUUGCUGCACCAUUCCUUGUUCCCUUCAUCAUAUCAGAUUUCAUGCAUCAUUUCAUCAUUUUAACCACCACUCCAUGCACUCAUUGCUACACCAUCACUCCACCUUAAUCCUUCAUGCCGUGCAUCAUCAGUCCACUUUCACCCUUGUAUCAUUUCUGCACCAUUUCACCUCCAUUUCCUUUCUCUACCAUGUGCACAAUCAUUCAUGUCCCCUACAUGCACUCAUCACUGCACCAUCCCUCAACUUUCACCCUCUAUGCCGUGCAUCAUUAACCUCCCAUCCUUGCAUGUUGGAAAUAUGCCCUGAAAGUCAAUCUUUGGAAGAAACCUUUCAGGACAAAUGAAUUGAUGUAUGGAUGAUUCUUAUACAUCAAAUGGCAAAGACACGAAUUAGGACUAUCUCAAUAAAAGAUAUAUGUCCUAAAUAGUGUAUCCAUGGACAGUGGAUUGAUUGAAGAAGUAAUCUAAUGAUGUUAGACUACAGAGACCUUCUUCACAUAACCAAAUGUCCAAAAGGUUCCUGGUCGUUGGAUUGUCGGAAGGAUACUGACAAUGCGUAGACCGGUACAUACUAUGUCUGCUUCAAUUGGAAGGAUGGAAAGUCUCAUCCCAUUCGUGUUGUGACACUAAGACAAGUAUGUAGGUGCUCAUUAGGGGAAUGAGUUCACUGAACACAAUCGAACGAGAGUACUUGUAUGGAGGUCUACUCACAUGUCAAGCAAGUAACUCUAAUGGUUGGAAAGAUGUAAGUAAUCCUUAGACCUGAGG